CCCGCUCUGCAGCUAAAGGCAUUGACCAGCUGAGUUCUGUGGCAGCCAAGUUGUCCAUCUCUCUCCUGAGGCACACCGAGCUCAUUCCAGCUGACAAGGCCUUUUAUGAGGCCGGCCUGGCAGCCAAGGCUGUGGAAUGGGAGAACAUGGCUUUU
This is a long non-coding RNA of Carassius auratus (goldfish), 155 nucleotides long. RefSeq lists it as uncharacterized. The record is from RefSeq and is a predicted model, not a curated record. The transcript has 3 exons. NCBI's taxonomy places the organism in Eukaryota, Metazoa, Chordata, Actinopteri, Cypriniformes, Cyprinidae.